CUCCUGAUUUCAGGACACGAUGAUGGACUGCGAGGGUGAUGGAGGAGGGUUGGAGGAGCUCGUUGAUCUGGCAACCGACAUCGCGGAUUCAUCCCCGACAAUCCGAGAUGCCGCGGAGAGGUUGCUGACGUUGCUGGGCGUGGACGAGGAGGAUCCGGAGGACCUGGUGUCCUCCUCCGAGGACGAGGGCGUAGAACUCGACGAGCUGGACGAGGACGACGACGAGGAGGACGACGACGGACCCGAGAACGCCAGGCUGUUGCAUCAGCUGGCCGCCUCGUUGGCCAUGGAGCUGAAACAGUCCCAUCAGCUGAAACAGAGUUCCAGCAAGCAUCCGAGAACAGGGGACAGUUUCGACAGGGAUCGUCGAGUGGAGCUGAUAGGGACGAGUUACCUGGAGCACAGUUACACCGUUCAACAGGCCGGUAACACGAAGGGGAGCAGCUGUUGUCGGGGCAUCGUGGCGGACAAGUCGUCGCGUACGUUCGGCAAACAGCGAACGAUCGUCAUCGAGCCUCGCGAUCGCCGGUGUCCGGACGAUCGUUCGAGGAUGAGCCAAGACGAAAACGAAGACGAAGACGAAGACGAGGACGAAGGGAACAGCGUCGACGAGCAGGUUCCAGUGUCGUGGAACGCCGGCUGGGACGCCUGCGCCACGGAAGCACUCAGAUAUCUCGUGGAGGAUGAAGGAUUGCCGCCUCAUCAUCCCACGGUCCUGGCCAUGAAGGACCAUCUGGAGCUGCAGAGGGAACGCGCGUUCGCUCAGUACACCGCGUAAACGAGUCGCUCUGAUUUUUAUCGCACGAGGGAAGCCAGAGGCUGGCUUUCACCGAUAGGAACGUCGCUCCGACCGGGAUGAGGGAGAGGGGGAGGGCGAUCGCGAGGCCCGAACAGGAUGCGAACGAAGGGGGUAUUUCCUGUUCGGAGGCGGAGGUUGAGAGGUGAAUGUGGAGUGGACGAUAGGAGAUGGUCCUGCGAGAUUGAGUCUUUGGUAAUGAGCGCGGUUACGGCUUGGAAUUUACGAGAGGAUUAAUUAGUAUUAUAUGGAGUUUCGUAACGAAUGAAGCCAGCAGAAGCAGAAGCUCAACAUUCGAAAUCACACGCUUCCGCGAUGGAGUUAAUCGCUUUAGAGAUUGCCUCUGAAAGACUCAUCUAUCACCUUCUUAAGAGGAAUUUAAAAAAAGAUCGAAACGUUGAGAUUGAAUUCUUGCUGCACGGACGCCAUGAAUUUUAAUGGAAAUGCACUGGAAACCCCGUGUCCCACAUUCACUUUUCAAUCAUCUUGACUGGGAGCUUCGCGAUCGUCCGCGUCUUGGCUCGUGCAGAGAAGUUCCUGUCGCGAUAAAAAAA
This is an RNA transcript of Frieseomelitta varia, 1350 nucleotides long. RefSeq lists it as uncharacterized. The record is from RefSeq and is a predicted model, not a curated record. NCBI's taxonomy places the organism in Eukaryota, Metazoa, Arthropoda, Insecta, Hymenoptera, Apidae. The transcript is spliced from 4 exons.